UCAGCCGCCGCACCUCCAUCUUCCCUCCUC
RNAcentral lists this non-coding RNA (30 nucleotides) under Homo sapiens (human). The record is from RNAcentral. Lineage: Eukaryota; Metazoa; Chordata; Mammalia; Primates; Hominidae.